RNAcentral lists this ribosomal RNA (427 nucleotides) under uncultured bacterium. RNAcentral's name for it is "bacterial SSU rRNA". It matches the Rfam family "Bacterial small subunit ribosomal RNA", at positions 355 to 774 of the family's 1533-position model. The record is from RNAcentral.
UGGGGAAUUUUGGACAAUGGGCGCAAGCCUGAUCCAGCCAUGCCGCGUGCAGGAUGAAGGCCUUCGGGUUGUAAACUGCUUUUGUACGGAACGAAAAGGUGCCUUCUAAUAAAGGGCGCUCAUGACGGUACCGUAAGAAUAAGCACCGGCUAACUCCGUGCCAGCAGCCGCGGUAAUACGGAGGGUGCGAGCGUUACCCGGAUUUACUGGGUGUAAAGGGCGUGUAGGCGGUUUCUCAAGUCCGAUGCUAAAGACCGAAGCUCAACUUCGGGAGUGCGUUGGAUACUGUGAGGCUAGACGGUCGGAGAGGGUAGCGGAAUUUCCUGAGUAGCGGUGAAAUGCGCAGAUACAGGAAGGAACGCCAAUAGCGAAAGCAGCUACCUGGACGAUUUGUGACGCUGAGGCGCGAAAGCGUGGGGAGCAAACC